Molecule: ribosomal RNA, 490 nt
Filed under: uncultured Desulfobulbus sp.
Lineage: Bacteria; Pseudomonadati; Thermodesulfobacteriota; Desulfobulbia; Desulfobulbales; Desulfobulbaceae
Description: bacterial SSU rRNA
Rfam family: Bacterial small subunit ribosomal RNA
Source: RNAcentral
GAACUUAAAUGAAUUGACGGGGCCCGCACAAGCGGUGGAGUAUGUGGUUUAAUUCGAUGCAACGCGAAGAACCUUACCUGGUCUUGACAUCCCGGAGACCCUUAGGAAACUAGGGGGUGCUUCCAUCUGGAAGAAUCUGGAGACAGGUGCUGCAUGGCUGUCGUCAGCUCGUGUCGUGAGAUGUUGGGUUAAGUCCCGCAACGAGCGCAACCCUUGCCUUUAGUUGCCAGCAGUUCGGCUGGGCACUCUAAAGGGACUGCCGGUGUUAAACCGGAGGAAGGUGGGGAUGACGUCAAGUCCUCAUGGCCUUUAUGACCAGGGCUACACACGUACUACAAUGGCCGAUACAAAGGGCAGCGACACUGCGAGGUGAAGCCAAUCCCGUAAAAUCGGUCUCAGUCCGGAUUGGAGUCUGCAACUCGACUCCAUGAAGUUGGAAUCGCUAGUAAUCGUGGAUCAGCAUGCCACGGUGAAUACGUUCCCGGGCCUU